UACGUAGGGGGCAAGCGUUGUCCGGAUUUAUUGGGCGUAAAGAGCGUGUAGGCGGCUUUACAGGUCCGUUGUGAAAACUCGAGGCUCAACCUCGAGACGCCGGUGGAAACCGUAAGGCUAGAGUCCGGAAGAGGAGAGUGGAAUUCCUGGUGUAGCGGUGAAAUGCGCAGAUAUCAGGAAGAACACCCGUGGCGAAGGCGGCUCACUGGACCACAACUGACGCUGAGGCGCGAAAGCUAGGGGAGCAAACAGG
RNAcentral lists this ribosomal RNA (253 nucleotides) under uncultured bacterium. RNAcentral's name for it is "partial 16S ribosomal RNA". It matches the Rfam family "Bacterial small subunit ribosomal RNA", at positions 524 to 776 of the family's 1533-position model. The record is from RNAcentral.